This 72-nucleotide transfer RNA is filed under the name Phrynosoma platyrhinos (Desert horned lizard). RNAcentral describes it as "tRNA-OTHER". The record is from RNAcentral. Lineage: Eukaryota; Metazoa; Chordata; Lepidosauria; Squamata; Phrynosomatidae.
GCCUGUGUGGCGUAGUGGUUUCAGUAUUGAACUACAACUCUGGAGACCAGGGUUCGAGUCCCAGCUUGGCCA